GAUUAACGCUAGCGGCAGGCCUAAUACAUGCAAGUCGAGGGGCAGCGGGAGUAGCAAUACUUGCCGGCGACCGGCGCACGGGUGCGUAACACGUAUACAACCUUCCUUUAACUGGAGGAUAGCCCCGAGAAAUCGGGAUUAACACUCCAUAACAUAAUGAUGUGGCAUCAUAUUAUUAUUAAAACUCCGGUGGUUAAAGAUGGGUAUGCGUAACAUUAGCUAGUUGGUGAGGUAANGGCUCACCAAGGCUACGAUGUUUAGGGGACCUGAGAGGGUUAACCCCACACUGGUACUGAGACACGGACCAGACUCCUACGGGAGGCAGCAGUAAGGAAUAUUGGACAAUGGUCGCAAGACUGAUCCAGCCAUGCCGCGUGAAGGAUGACGGCGCUAUGCGUUGUUAAAC
This 406-nucleotide ribosomal RNA is filed under the name uncultured bacterium. Its description in RNAcentral is "bacterial SSU rRNA". It matches the Rfam family "Bacterial small subunit ribosomal RNA", at positions 28 to 430 of the family's 1533-position model. The record is from RNAcentral.